This is a non-coding RNA of Cinara cedri, 246 nucleotides long. Lineage: Eukaryota; Metazoa; Arthropoda; Insecta; Hemiptera; Aphididae. The record is from the annotation of a GenBank genome assembly.
AUUUUUUAUGUUGUAUGAGUGCUGACUUUUAAUAUUUUCCAAGAAGAAAAAAAUUUCCAAAAACAACGUGCCCCGAAGGUUUUAAAACUGGUGAUCUCAGUGGAGAACCAAUGUCUCUAUGUUCCUAUGAAGUCUAUGGAAUUGUUAAAAUCACACCCAUUACAUAACGGCCAUAUUAACGUGCCGACCUAUGCUAUUCCAUAUUAAUUGAACAGUUGGUAGGCGUUCCGUACGGAUUGGGCAUUG